GAUGAACGCUGGCGGCGUGCCUAAUACAUGCAAGUCGAGCGAACAGACGAGGAGCUUGCUCCUCUGACGUUAGCGGCGGACGGGUGAGUAACACGUGGAUAACCUCCCUAUAAGACUGGGAUAACUUCGGGAAACCGGAGCUAAUACCGGAUAAUAUAUUGAACCGCAUGGUUCAAUAGUGAAAGACGGUUUUGCUGUCACUUAUAGAUGGAUCCGCGCCGCAUUAGCUAGUUGGUAAGGUAACGGCUUACCAAGGCAACGAUGCGUAGCCGACCUGAGAGGAUGAUCAGCCACACUGGAACUGAGACACGGUCCAGACUCCUACGGGAGGCAGCAGUAGGGAAUCUUCCGCAAUGGGCGAAAGCCUGACGGAGCAACGCCGCGUGAGUGAUGAAGGUCUUCGGAUCGUAAAGCUCUGUUAUUAGGGAAGAACAAAUGUGUAAGUAACUAUGCACGUCUUGACGGUACCUAAUCAGAAAGCCACGGCUAACUACGUG
Molecule: ribosomal RNA, 497 nt
Filed under: uncultured bacterium
Lineage: Bacteria
Description: partial 16S ribosomal RNA
Rfam family: Bacterial small subunit ribosomal RNA
Source: RNAcentral